CCUCCCUUCUUUUUCAGGCGCCGCUUCAUUUUCUUUCUUUCUCUUCUUCCACAUUUUCUCUCUUUAACUUCGAUCUCUUACUGUGAUAUUUAUCUUUUAUUCUUCGCACAUUAAUUUCUUUGAAAUUUUGUUCUUGGAUCUUCGUUCCAUGAUAUUUCUGAUCAAGUGCUUUUCUCGGAUUUCUUUGAGUUGAUCGAAACGGGGGUUCUGUGUGCAAGAGUGCUAAAUGUUCACCUUUUUUAGACAAUAUUGCUCCAAUUUUUCUUGUCCCCUGUUGUAUUCUGCCUCUUACAAAUUAGUUGUUUCCCUGGUCUAUUUGGCUACAUGUUCACCUUUUGAUUUCUCGAUUAAAACAUGACUAUGUACCUACAUUUUUUGAUAACUUCAGUGCUAAUGUUGUCGUUGAUGGGAACACAGUCAACCUAGGGUGCAGGGAAAGAAGAUUACAAUAGACUGAGACCUUUGAGCUAUCGUGGAGCUGAUGUUUUAAUUUUAGCGUUCUCGUUGAUUAGCAAAGCUAAUUAUGAAAAUUUUGCCAAAAAAUGGAUUCCUAUGCUCAGGCAUUAUGCACUGGUGUUCUAAUAAUUCUCGUAGGAACAAAUCUAGAUGGCCUAUGCCUUUUACAAUUUUCCUUACAACUCUUGCAACGGCAUUGGAUAUCAGUCUGAGCGAGGCAUCACUUGUGGUAGUUUUGGUCGGACCAAAAAAGAAUCAGACUGUGAUACUCAUUCUGAUAAGACUUUUGAGAAAAGUCUUGAUGUUACUGUUGUGAAAGAAGUUUGUGGAAAGACAGAAAUAGUUCGUCGUAGUGUUACAUUACCUCUGGAGUAUUCCAAGCUACUGCAGUUUUGGAACCAGACCCUAUGUUUCUUGAUCAAACAUGGCUUGGGAUUGGUGGCCUCAAGGUACCAGAUGAGCAAUGCAGGAGAAAACAUUUGAUUUUGGAGGCCCUUGCUCGGAAGAGGAAACAAGUGUACUUCCUUAAGAGCCUCAAGUUCUACGAUGACUAAGCGAAUAGCCUCAAGAAAGGCAAUUGAAAGGUUGUAUCCAUGAGGAUUGCUGCAGUGGGUACUUCAACACACAAAUGUGUAGUUUGUGAUGAGAUGGUGGAAAAGAUUGAUUUGGUACCUGUAGGGAAUAUUUCAAGCAUUAUCUCUAGCUUGAACCCCACUGUGGUCAUACACUAAAGUACGGUGGCGUCCAAAGGGAAAGAAGAUAGAGAAAAAGAGUUG
Chenopodium quinoa (quinoa) is the source of this 1232-nucleotide long non-coding RNA. RefSeq lists it as uncharacterized. Lineage: Eukaryota; Viridiplantae; Streptophyta; Magnoliopsida; Caryophyllales; Amaranthaceae. The record is from RefSeq and is a predicted model, not a curated record. The transcript is spliced from 6 exons.